UAACAAUGAUUCCCUCAGUAACGGCGAGUGAACAGGGAAAAGCUCAAAGUUGGAACCUCCUGGCCCUAGGCCUGGCGGAUUGUAAACUAAAGCUCUCGAGUAGUUCGGCUAGCCUGGUAAAAAAGUUCUCUGGAAAGGGACGACAUGGAGGGUGAAAUCCCCGUCUUUGGCCAGAGCAUAGUCCAACGUUUGCUUGGAAGUGAAGAGUCAGGUUGUUUGGUAUUGCAGCCUAAAGCUGGAGGUAAAUCUCUCCUAAAGCUAAAUAUUGACGAAAGACCGAUAGCGAACAAGUACCGUGAGGGAAAGAUGAAAAGCACUUUGAAAAGAGGGUCAAAAAGUACGUGAAAUUGCUGAAAGGGAACCGUAUGAAAUCAGCCUGUCUCUUUGGUAAUCAACCUGGAAUUCGUUCUGGGUGCACUUGCCGGUGAGUCAGCCUGCGACAAUUUGACUUGGGGGAAAAAAUCGGGGGGAAUGUGGCCUCGGCUUCGGUCGUGGUGUUAUAGCCCUUUGAAAAAUACCCUGGGUUGGAUUGAGGACUGCAGCGAGCCAUUAGGGAUGAACUGUGGGCGCUUGGCUUUGCCUUGAAAGAAAUCUUUGCUUCGGGUGGUGUCUUUCUCGGCGGGGUCAACUCGCCUACUUUUUCUUUUUCUCGCUUAGGUCGCAGGCAUAAUGAUUUUAUAUAACCCGUCUUGAA
RNAcentral lists this ribosomal RNA (694 nucleotides) under Mucor hiemalis f. hiemalis. RNAcentral's name for it is "LSU rRNA". It matches the Rfam family "Eukaryotic large subunit ribosomal RNA", at positions 66 to 658 of the family's 3401-position model. Lineage: Eukaryota; Fungi; Mucoromycota; Mucoromycetes; Mucorales; Mucoraceae. The record is from RNAcentral.